Molecule: ribosomal RNA, 710 nt
Filed under: uncultured Enterobacteriaceae bacterium
Lineage: Bacteria; Pseudomonadati; Pseudomonadota; Gammaproteobacteria; Enterobacterales; Enterobacteriaceae
Description: bacterial SSU rRNA
Rfam family: Bacterial small subunit ribosomal RNA
Source: RNAcentral
UAGUCACGCUGUAAACGAUGUCGAUUUGGAGUUUGGGGGCAUGACCCUUGGGCUCCGGAGCUAACGCGUUAAAUCGACCGCUGGGGAGUACGGCCGCGAGGUUAAAACUCAAAUGAAUUGACGGGGGCCCGCACAAGCGGUGGAGCAUGUGGUUUAAUUCGAUGCAACGCGAAGAACCUUACCUGGUCUUGACAUCCAUAGAAUCUUUCAGAGAUGAGAGAGUGCCUUCGGGAGCUAUGAGACAGGUGCUGCAUGGCUGUCGUCAGCUCGUGUUGUGAAAUGUUGGGUUAAGUCCCGCAACGAGCGCAACCCCUAUCCUUUGUUGCCAGCACGUAAUGGUGGGAACUCAAAGGAGACUGCCGUUGAUAAAGCGGAGGAAGGUGGGGACGACGUCAAGUCAUCAUGGCCCUUACGACCAGGGCUACACACGUGCUACAAUGGCGUAUACAAAGGGAUGCGAAGGUGCGAACUGGAGCGGACCUCACAAAGUACGUCUAAGUCCGGAUUGGAGUCUGCAACUCGACUCCAUGAAGUCGGAAUCGCUAGUAAUCGUGAAUCAGAAUGUCACGGUGAAUACGUUCCCGGGCCUUGUACACACCGCCCGUCACACCAUGGGAGUGGGUUGCACCAGAAGUAGAUAGCUUAACCUUCGGGAGGGCGUUUACCACGGUGUGGUUCAUGACUGGGGUGAAGUCGUAACAAGGUAACCA